RNAcentral lists this ribosomal RNA (500 nucleotides) under uncultured bacterium. RNAcentral describes it as "bacterial SSU rRNA". It matches the Rfam family "Bacterial small subunit ribosomal RNA", at positions 23 to 518 of the family's 1533-position model. The record is from RNAcentral.
CUCAGGAUGAACGCUAGCUACAGGCUAACACAUGCAAGUCGAGGGAAACGAUAUUGAAGCUGCUUCUUAGGCGUCGACCGGCGAAUGGGUGAGUAACGCGUAUCCAACCUGCCCCUGAGUAAGGGAUAGCCCAUCGAAAGAUGGAUUAAUACCUUAUGGUUCCUUUGAAGGCAUCAGAUUAGGAAUAAAGAUUUAUCGCUGAGGGAUGGGGAUGCGUCUGAUUAGCUUGUUGGCGGGUAACGGCCACCAAGGCGACGAUCAGUAGGGGUUCUGAGAGGAAGGUCCCCCACAUUGGUACUGAGACACGGACCAAACUCCUACGGGAGGCAGCAGUGAGGAAUAUUGGUCAAUGGGCGCAAGCCUGAACCAGCCAAGUAGCGUGCAAGGACGACUGCCCUAUGGGUUGUAAACUGCUUUUAUACGGGGAUAAAGUCAGAGUCGUGACUCUGUUUGCAGGUACCGUAUGAAUAAGGACCGGCUAAUUCCGUGCCAGCAGCUGC